Molecule: ribosomal RNA, 484 nt
Filed under: uncultured bacterium
Lineage: Bacteria
Description: partial 16S ribosomal RNA
Rfam family: Bacterial small subunit ribosomal RNA
Source: RNAcentral
AUUGAACGCUGGCGGCAGGCCUAACACAUGCAAGUCGAGCGGAUGGAGGGAGCUUGCUCCUGGAUUCAGCGGCGGACGGGUGAGUAAUGCCUAGGAAUCUGCCUGGUAGUGGGGGAUAACGUCCGGAAACGGGCGCUAAUACCGCAUACGUCCUAAGGGAGAAAGUGGGGGAUCUUCGGACCUCACGCUAUCAGAUGAGCCUAGGUCGGAUUAGCUAGUUGGUGGGGUAAAGGCCUACCAAGGCGACGAUCCGUAACUGGUCUGAGAGGAUGAUCAGUCACACUGGAACUGAGACACGGUCCAGACUCCUACGGGAGGCAGCAGUGGGGAAUAUUGGACAAUGGGCGAAAGCCUGAUCCAGCCAUGCCGCGUGUGUGAAGAAGGUCUUCGGAUUGUAAAGCACUUUAAGUUGGGAGGAAGGGCAGUAAGUUAAUACCUUGCUGUUUUGACGUUACCAACAGAAUAAGCACCGGCUAACUUCGUG